RNAcentral lists this transfer RNA (74 nucleotides) under Marmota monax (woodchuck). RNAcentral describes it as "tRNA.Val". The record is from RNAcentral. Lineage: Eukaryota; Metazoa; Chordata; Mammalia; Rodentia; Sciuridae.
GCUGGGGAUAUAACUCAGUGGGUAGAGUGCAUGCCUCACAUGCACAAGGUCUGGGUUCAAUCUCCAGCACAAUA